GCCGCGCGCUGGGGCGUAGGGGACCGCGGCUUGGAACUCCGGACGGCUGCAAGCCUGCUCAGGCUCCUUGUCUUCAUCGCCUUCUUUCGCUGUGCGCGGACCACACGGUGGAACUGUAGCGGCGAAAGCGACUGAGGUCUGGGCGCAAUUAUCUGUAACCUCCUGGCGACCCUGCAAGAAGACGCGUUAUUACAAGAUACUGAAUAUAGUUCCUUGCUCUAUACAGGGAACACAAGUAAGAAUGGAGGGUGCUCUUCCCCCCGCCCCACCCCGAAGGUAACAAAGGAUCAAGGUUUUCUCCAUGAAAUAGCCGCAGAAUGUAAACUGAGGCUGCUGGCAUUUCCCUGAGAGUUUUACUGGCUCAGCUCAAGAACCACCUCCUCCAAGUUGUCUUCCUGGAUUUACUCAGCCUAAAGUAAUCCUUCUUUUUCCUAGCCUGGACUGUGAAGACCAAACCAGCUCUCCAACCUGACAGACAGCGCUUGUUUUAUCUAAGGAAAGGGGACAGGACGGGCAGCGCUCACCUGUCUGACAGGGACGACUACACCUCUUCACGGGAAUUCUCGGAUCCUUGAAACAACACUUUAAGGGCUCAGCACAAUGGACAUAGAAACAGCAGAGGUCGAUGACUGCAUUGAUCCAAAUUUGGAAGUUGUGUGGCAGUCUGUGAAAAAUGGAAUCCUGCCAACAACCAUGUGACUGAACUUGGAAGCAGACCCUUCCCAGUAGAGCCUUCGGAUGAGGUGACAUCCCUGGCCAGCGCCUUGACUGCGGGCUUGCGAGAGGCCCUGAAGCAGAAGACCCAGCUAAGCCACGCCUGGAUUCCUGAAAAAUAAAAUAAGAGAAAAUGAACAAUUAUACAACAUUAACCUGCACCAGUGACUUUCUAAAUCUAAGAAAAUAGUCUUAUGUGUGUAUAUACUAUAUCUCAACAAGGAGAGAAGAACAAUACAUUUUCUUUUUGUAACUUGGAACCUUGUGUAUCUGAUGGCUUCGACCACCUGAUGACCGCACCAGCCUUGUCUCUGUUGCCCAACACCACAAAUGCUUGCCCCACCCCUCCUUUGAUCCUCUCAUUCUCUCUUUCUUUCUUUUUGGAGAGGCCAUUCUGAGAUUUAAAUAAAGCUUUCUAUUGAUACUUAAGAAGAUUUUGCACAAUUUCCGUUCGACCAAGUAACAGAGACUGGAUUUACCCUCUUACUUUAAAGAACCAAAAAACAGGACAAAAUGUAUAAGCUCUACCUGACUUGGCUCCCUGAACUCUGAGAUUGGUGUCCGCAACCCAGGGAGUCUUCCAAGCUCUGCCUCAGCUCCCCUUCCCCAUGUCCUAUCCUGGAAACUUUCUGAAGGCACUAAGUUGGGUCAAAUCUUCCACCUUAAGACGCUGGGAAAAGAAGGGCAAACUAAACCUAAAGCAAGCCAGAAGGAAAUGAUAAAGAUCAGAGUGGAAAUUAUUGGACUAGAUAAUAGAAAAAACAAUCAAGAAAAUCAGUGAAACCAAAAGCUGGUUCUUGGAAAAGAUCAACAAAAUUGGCAAAACUUUAGUUAGAUUGACUAAGAAAAAAAGAAGACUCAAAUUUCUAGAAUCAGAAAUGAAAGAGGGGAUAUUACUACUGACUUUACAGGAAUAAAAAAGGAUUAUGUGGGAAUUCUAUGAACAAUUAUAUACCAAUAAAUUAGAUGAAAUGGACAAAUUUCUAGAGAGACACAAACUACUGAAAUUGACUCAAGAAGAAAAAAAAACAGUAUGAAUAGAUCUAUAACAAGUGACAAGCCUGAAUUAGUAAUUUUAAACAAAACUGCCCACAAAGAAAACCCCAGGUCCAGACGGUUCACCACUGAAUUCUAACAAACAUUUAAAGAACUAAUACUAACUCUUCUCUUCACCAACUCUUCCAAAAAUAGAAGAGACUGGAACACUUCCCAGUUCAUUCUAUGGGGCUAAUAUUACCCUCAUACCAAAACCAAAGACAUCACAAGGAAAGAAAACUACAGAUUAUUAUCUCUUAUGAACAUAGGUGCAAAAAUCCUUAGCAAAGUGAAUCCAACAACAUAUAAAAAGAAUUAUGCACUAUGAGAAGUGGGAUUUAUCCUAGGAAUAAGCAGUCUGUUUAACAUCUGAAAGUAAGUUAAUGUAAUACAUCAUAAUAAUUGAAUAAAAAACAAAAUCACAUGAUCAUCUCAAUAGAUGCAAAAAAGCAUAUGACAAAAUCCAACAACCUUUCAUGACAGAAACACUCAAUAAACUAGGGAUGGAAGAGAACUUCCUCAACUUAACAAAGGACUUCUAUGAAAAACCCACAGCUAACAUCAUACUUAAUGGUGAAAGCAUAGGUGCUUUAUACCCUUAAAAUUAGGAACAAAACAAUCUCUGCAGCCCAACAUUUUAUUGGAGUUCUAUCCAGGGCACUUAGGCCACAGAAAGAAAUAAAAGACAUCCACACUGGAAAGGGAAAAGUAAAAUUAUCUCUAUUUGCAGAUGACAAGAUCUUUUAUGUAGAAAAUCUCAAGGAAUCCACAAAGAAAACAAAACACCUAUUAUAACUAAUUAAAAAGUUCAGCAAGGUUGCAGAAUACAGGAUCAAUAUACAAUAAUCAAUUGUGGAUCUGUAUACUUACAAUGAACAAUCCGAGAUUACAAAAGCAAUUCCAUUUACAGUAGCAUUGAAAAGAAUAAAAUACUUAGGAAUAAAGCUAAGUGAAGGAGUGUAAAACAUACUCUGAAAAUUAUAAGACACUGUUGAAAGAAAUUAAUGAUCUAAAUGGAACACAUUCCAUGCUCAUGGAUUGGAAGACUUCAUAUUGUUAAGAUGGUAAUACUUCCCAAAUUGAUCUAUGAUUUGAUGCAAUCCCUAUAAGAAUCUCAGCUGGCUUCUCUUUAGAAAAUGGCAAGCUGAUUGUAAAAUUCAUAUGGAAUUGUAAGUGACCCAGAAUAGCCAAAGCAAUCUUGAAAAAGAAGAACAAAGGAGGAGGAUUCUCACUUCCCAAUUUCAAAAUUUACUACAAAGCAAUGAUAGUCAAGAUAGUGUGGAAAUGGCAUAGAGAUAGACAUAUAAAUCAAUGGAAUAAAAUUGAGACUCCAGAAAUAAACCCAUGUGUCUAUGGUCAGCUGAUUUUUGACAAGAGUGCCAAGUUCAUUCAAUGGUGAAAGAAUAGUUAUUUCAAAAAAUAAUGCUGAGACGACUGGAUAACCACAUGUAAAAGAAUGAAGUUGGACCAUGCCCCAUACCAUAUACAAAAAUCAACUUUAAAUUGAUCAAAAACUUAAAUAUAAGAGCUAAAACUAUAAAACUCUUAUAAGAAAACAUAGGGGUAAAUCUUCAUGACCUUAGAUUUGGCAAAGGUUUCUUAUUUAUGGCACCAAAAGGAUGAAAAACAAAAGAGAAAAAUAGAUAAAUUGGACCUCAUCAAAAUAGAACACUUUUGUGCUUCAAAGGACAUUCAUGAAAGUGCAAAGACAGCCCACAGGAUGGGAGAAAAUAUUUGCAAGUCAUUAAUCUGAUGAGGGGAUUGUAUCUAGACUAUAUAAAGAAUUUUUACAACUUGAUAAUAAAAACAUAAAUAACCCAAUUAAAAAAUGGGCAAAGGAUAUGAAAUGAUUAUUUCCCCAAGGAAGAUAUACAAAAUGGCCAAUAAGCAUAUGAAAAGUUUCUCAACAUCAUCAGGGAAAUGCAAAUCAAAACCACAAUGAACUUCAUACCACUUCAUACCCACUCGGAUGGCUAUAAUAAAAAAGCCAGAUACUAGCAAGUAUUGACGAGGAUGCGGAGAAAUCAGAACUCUUGUACAUUGUUGGUGGGUAUGUAAAAUGCCACUUUGGAAAACAGUCUGGUAGUUCCUGAAAAGUUUAAACAUAGAGUUACUAUAUAAUCCAACAAUUCUCUUCUAAGAAUUGAAGAAUAUCUUCCUUCCAAGAGAAAGGAAAAUAUAUGUCCACAGAAAAAAACCAAACUUGUGGGCUUCCCUGGUGGCGCAGUGGUAGAGAGUCCGCCUGCCGAUGCAGGGGACACGGGUUCGUGCCCCGGUCCGGGAAGAUCCCACAUGCCGCGGAGCGGCUGGGCCCGUGAGCCAUGGCCGCUGAGCCUGUGCGUCCGGAGCCUGUGCUCCGCAACGGGAGAGGCCACAACAGUGAGAGGCCCGCGUACUGCAAACAAAACAAAACAAAAACAAACAAACAAACAAAAACUUCUUAUAGCAGCAUUAUUCAUAAUAACCAAAAGGUGAAAACAACCCAAAUGUCCAUCAACUGAUGAAUGUAUAAAUACAAUGUGCUAUAUCCAUACAAUGGAAUAUUAUUUGGCCGUAAAAGGAGCAAAGUGCUUACUGAUACAUGAUACAACAUGGAUUCAUCUUGGAAAACAUUAUACUGAGUCAAAGAAGCCAGUUACAAAAGACCACAUAUUAUAAGAUUCCAUUUAUUUGAAAUGUCCAGAAUAAAGAAAUCUAUAGACAGAAAGUAGAUUAAUAGUGGCUUAGGACUGGACGGAAUAGGGAAUAGAAAACUAAAGGGUAUAGGAUUUCUUUCUGAGGUGAGGAAAGCAUUCUGAAAUUGGUGAUGGUCACACAUGUCUGUGAAUAUACUAAAAACCAUUGAAUCGUACACUUGAAAUGGAUGAAUGUGAAUUAUAAUUAUUAUA
This is a long non-coding RNA of Globicephala melas (long-finned pilot whale), 4637 nucleotides long. RefSeq lists it as uncharacterized. The record is from RefSeq and is a predicted model, not a curated record. NCBI's taxonomy places the organism in Eukaryota, Metazoa, Chordata, Mammalia, Artiodactyla, Delphinidae.